Molecule: long non-coding RNA, 390 nt
Organism: Sitophilus oryzae (rice weevil)
Lineage: Eukaryota; Metazoa; Arthropoda; Insecta; Coleoptera; Curculionidae
Exons: 3
Source: RefSeq, a predicted model, not a curated record
AGGUAUCUACCUAAUGGUAGGAAGAAAUUAAUUAUGUAAUGGUAGGAAAAAUAAUUCACUUUAAUUAUGUAUUAGAAAAUCAGUAAUCUUAAAUUAGGAUGCAUCAAUGGAGAAGAAGGCAAUUGUAAUCACAAUACAAUAAUAGAUCUACAAAUACCAAGCAAUACAUUAAAUCAAAUAUCUCAGUAACACUGUUAUUAUGUACUCCCUGUGGUCUUAUUAAUGUCAGCUUAUUGAUAGCUCGAUUACCAGUCAAAUAGUUUCGAUGUUUUCUAUACUAUGAAGAAAUUUUGAUCUGAUUAGAUUAAUUCAGAUGUAAAUUUAUGUUAUACGGUGAAUGUAUCGAGUCAUAUAUUAUGCAGAAUAUAUUGAGAAAAAUGGUAAACUAAC